RNAcentral lists this ribosomal RNA (468 nucleotides) under uncultured bacterium. RNAcentral's name for it is "partial 16S ribosomal RNA". It matches the Rfam family "Bacterial small subunit ribosomal RNA", at positions 28 to 507 of the family's 1533-position model. The record is from RNAcentral.
GACGAACGCUGGCGGCGUGCUUAACACAUGCAAGUCGAACGGAAAGGCCCUGCUUUUGUGGGGUGCUCGAGUGGCGAACGGGUGAGUAACACGUGAGUAACCUGCCCUUGACUUUGGGAUAACUUCAGGAAACUGGGGCUACUACCGGAUAGGAGCUCCUGCUGCAUGGUGGGGGUUGGAAAGUUUCGGCGGUUGGGGAUGGACUCGCGGCUUAUCAGCUUGUUGGUGGGGUAGUGGCUUACCAAGGCUUUGACGGGUAGCCGGCCUGAGAGGGUGACCGGCCACAUUGGUACUGCGAUACGGCCCAGACUCCUACGGGAGGCAGCAGUGGGGAAUAUUGCACAAUGGUCGGAAGCCUGAUGCAGCAACGCCGCGUGCGGGAUGACGGCCUUCGGGUUGUAAACCGCUUUCGCCUGUGACGAAGCGUGAGUGACGGUAAUGGGUAAAGAAGCACCGGCUAACUACGUG